UACAGAGGUGGCAAGCGUUGUUCGGAAUUACUGGGCGUAAAGGGCGCGUAGGCGGUCUUUUAAGUCUUGUGUGAAAUCCCUCGGCUCAACUGAGGAACUGCACGGGAUACUGGAAGACUUGAGUUCGGGAGAGGGAAGCGGAAUUCCGGGUGUAGCGGUGAAAUGCGUAGAUAUCCGGAGGAACACCGGUGGCGAAGGCGGCUUCCUGGACCGGAUUACUGACGCUGAGCGC
RNAcentral lists this ribosomal RNA (232 nucleotides) under uncultured bacterium. RNAcentral describes it as "partial 16S ribosomal RNA". It matches the Rfam family "Bacterial small subunit ribosomal RNA", at positions 524 to 754 of the family's 1533-position model. The record is from RNAcentral.